CUGCCGGUGUGAGUCCGGUCCGGGUAAUCGCCGGGGAGCCCGGUAGCAGGCUGGCGGCUUGGUCUAGAAACGGGCCAGGUCGAAGCCCAGCGUCGAAAGCCCAUUUUGGGGAGCAACUGAGCGGUCCGUAGCGGAA
RNAcentral lists this non-coding RNA (136 nucleotides) under Nonomuraea jiangxiensis. Lineage: Bacteria; Bacillati; Actinomycetota; Actinomycetes; Streptosporangiales; Streptosporangiaceae. The record is from RNAcentral.